AUUGAACGCUGGCGGCAUGCCUAACACAUGCAAGUCGAACGGAGAUAGGGGCAACCUUAUUUCAGUGGCGGACGGGUGAGGAAUGCGUCGGAAUCUGCCCUAUGGGUGGGGGAUAACACAGGGAAACUUGUGCUAAUACCGCAUAAUGUCGAGAGACCAAAGCAGGGGACCGCAAGGCCUUGCGCGAUAGGAUGAGCCGACGCCCGAUUAGCUUGUUGGUAGGGUAAUGGCCUACCAAGGCGACGAUCGGUAGCUGGUCUGAGAGGAUGAUCAGCCACACUGGGACUGAGACACGGCCCAGACUCCUACGGGAGGCAGCAGUGGGGAAUAUUGGACAAUGGGCGCAAGCCUGAUCCAGCAAUGCCGCGUGUGUGAAGAAGGCCUGCGGGUUGUAAAGCACUUUCAGUGGGAAGAACAGGUUCGGGUCAAUACCCCGGAGCCCUGACGUUACCCACAGAAGAAGCACCGGCUAACUCCGUGCCAGCACG
Molecule: ribosomal RNA, 488 nt
Filed under: uncultured bacterium
Lineage: Bacteria
Description: bacterial SSU rRNA
Rfam family: Bacterial small subunit ribosomal RNA
Source: RNAcentral